This 206-nucleotide ribosomal RNA is filed under the name uncultured bacterium. Its description in RNAcentral is "partial 16S ribosomal RNA". It matches the Rfam family "Bacterial small subunit ribosomal RNA", at positions 1296 to 1500 of the family's 1533-position model. The record is from RNAcentral.
GACUGUAGGCUGCAACUCGCCUACACGAAGUUGGAAUUGCUAGUAAUCGUGGAUCAGCAUGCCACGGUGAAUACGUUCCCGGGUCUUGUACACACCGCCCGUCACACCAUGGGAGCUGGUAACACCCGAAGUCAGUAGUCUAACCGCAAGGAGGACGCUGCCGAAGGUGGGGAUUAGCGACCGGGGUGAAGUCGUAACAAGGUAAC